ACUCCUACGGGAGGCAGCAGUGGGGAAUAUUGCACAAUGGGGGAAACCCUGAUGCAGCCAUGCCGCGUGUGUGAAGAAGGCCUUCGGGUUGUAAAGCACUUUCAGUAGGGAGGAAGGUAGUGUAGUUAACACCUGCACUAUUUGACGUUACCUACAGAAGAAGCACCGGCUAACUCCGUGCCAGCAGCCGCGGUAAUACGGAGGGUGCGAGCGUUAAUCGGAAUUACUGGGCGUAAAGCGCAUGCAGGCGGCCUGUUAAGUCAGAUGUGAAAGCCCGGGGCUUAACCUCGGAAUUGCAUUUGAAACUGGCAGGCUAGAGUCUUGUAGAGGGGGGUAGAAUUUCAGGUGUAGCGGUGAAAUGCGUAGAGAUACUGAAGGAAUACCAGUGGCGAAGGCGGCCCCCUGGACAAAGACUGACGCUCAGAUGCG
Molecule: ribosomal RNA, 429 nt
Filed under: uncultured bacterium
Lineage: Bacteria
Description: bacterial SSU rRNA
Rfam family: Bacterial small subunit ribosomal RNA
Source: RNAcentral